Molecule: non-coding RNA, 2162 nt
Filed under: synthetic construct
Source: RNAcentral
CCGCAGACGGGACACAGAGCCUGCUUCAAAAAUUCUUUCGGACCCCGAUAGAGGGACCUGAAUUUACUCGCUUGUGUCUAGAGGACCGUGGCAGUUUAUCUGAAAAUGGCGACCCAAACCAUGGACGUGGAGCCUGUUCAGACCGUGAACGCAAUUGAUGCCGCCAUCGCCGAGCUGAAGCUGAUGGCCGGCCACAGCCAUGAAGCUAAUGUGCUGGCUGGCAGGCUGCUUCAUUUUAAGAUGAGAGAAGUUUGUACCCAGACUGUGGCUCAGUUUCUGGAUGCCUUUUCCAGCGUGUUGGAUGAAGGGCUGUGUGCCUUUAUUGGAAACUACAGCCAGAGUUUGGAUGAGAUGGUUCAGCGUUGUUUCAUCUUUGCCCCCGCCCUGGACUCUGAGGAAAAAACUGUGGAUGCAGUGUUUUCUGAGUUAACAAAGCUGUUGGCGUGUAAGUCGGGAGUGGGUAUGGAUCUGUCCACCUACUCUCAUGGAAAGAACCUGCAUGCUGUCCUGAAGGCCCUUGAUGGACAGAUCACUUACUUUAAUGAUCACAAUAUUAGGCCCGUCAGCGUGGCUGCCUAUAUGGAGAUUUGGCAUACCAACAUCAUGGACUUUCUGACUGCGAAGCUUCCAGAGAACCCAGAACGAUGUGGCAACUUAUUUCAAGGAGUGUGCAUACCAGAGAUUUUCUUCAGAACCUACAAAAAUGAUCCAGAGUCCAAUUGGUACCUGUUUGAUCCCAAGAAGGCCGAAGUCCUAACAAACACCUAUGGGUAUAUGUUUAGUAUAGCCUACGCAGGAUUAGUGGAGCAGGGGGCAUAUGAAGCAGUGGUUCCCAUUAAGAGCGUGAUGUUCGCUCUUGUUUCCUGCAUAAUAAAGACUGGGGGGCCUUAUAUUUUGAACAAGAAAGCUAUAAACAGACAUGACUGGCAUGAAUGGUCCACACAUCAGUAUAGGGCCAUUAAUUGUGCAAAUCUUUGUGCAGAGGUGAUACAGUAUCCAGGAGAGAACGUGUCCACCUGUAACCUGGCCAAUAUCUGUCUGCCAAAGUGUUUGGAGGAUGACAAAUUUGUCUCUGGAAAGAGUUGUCUACUCACGUACGAGCGUGAGUUUUCCAUUGAGAGGCUGGAGAGGGCCACAGAGGCUGCAGUGUUUAUCAUCAAUGCCUGCAUCCAUGGUGGCACUUUACCUACACAGAGGGCCAGGCGGGGGCAGAGUGACAGGUCUAUGGGUAUUGGAGUACAAGGAUUAGCAGAUACCUUUGCUAUGAUGGGGUUGGGAUAUUUUGAUGCAGGGAGUGAGAUACUUGAUCAGAAGAUAGCAGAGACCCUGUAUUUCAAUGCACUCAAUACCAGUAUCAACUUUGUGAAGAUAGGCAAGGGGGAACCCUAUGCUAACUAUGAGCAGAGUAAGCAUUCCAUUGGGGUGCUCCAUUGGCAUGACUGGGACAUGUGUAGCCCCAUGGUCUAUACAAGAGAUGAGUGGGAAGAUUUGGCAAGGUCCUGCGAGGUACAUGGUGUAUACAAUUCACAAUUUGUGGCCUAUAUGCCUACUGCUGGCACUGGGCAAAUCACAGGUUACUCAGACUCCUUCUAUCCAUUUUAUUCAUCCAUGUCAUCCAAGGUGUCAAAUAAAGAAGAAAUCUUGCGACCCAACAUGACCCUCAUGAGCAGAAUGUCAGAUAGUGAGGUCCAGACCCUUAGGGAGUGUAACUGGGAUAUUGCCAAACUUCCAGAGCCCCUGCUGCAGAAAUAUAGAAUUUUCCUGUCAGCCUUUGAUUAUGAACCCAGCCUGUAUGUACGCAGAGCUAUGCUUAGGGCACCAUUCAUUGAUCAGAGCCAGUCUAUGACCUUGUUUUUGAAUGAAGAUUAUGCAAGCAGUGCUUCAAAUAUAAAGAAUUUGUUGAUGUAUGGGUGGGAGUGUGGGUUGAAAACCUUGAUGUACUACUGCAGAAUACGUAAAACAGCAACCUCUAACGAAUUUGAAUGUGUCAGAAGGAAUUCACAACAGAAAUAUGUAAACUGUGCUGAUGGGGAAGGUGCUGGGGGGGAGGAGCCUUCUGAAAAUUGUAUAAAGGCUGAGGGUGCGACGUGUUCACUAUCUGUGGGUGCUUCUUGUCUGCACUGUCAAUAACUGAUUGCUCUCAAUAAAAUCAGUAAAAUUUA